RNAcentral lists this ribosomal RNA (457 nucleotides) under uncultured bacterium. RNAcentral's name for it is "bacterial SSU rRNA". It matches the Rfam family "Bacterial small subunit ribosomal RNA", at positions 29 to 477 of the family's 1533-position model. The record is from RNAcentral.
AUUGAACGCUGGCGGAAUGCUUUACACAUGCAAGUCGAACGGCAGCACGGGGGGCAACCCUGGUGGCGAGUGGCGAACGGGUGAGUAAUACAUCGGAACGUGCCCAGUCGUGGGGGAUAACGUAGCGAAAGCUACGCUAAUACCGCAUACGAUCUACGGAUGAAAGCGGGGGACUCGCAAGGGCCUCGCGCGAUUGGAGCGGCCGAUGGCAGAUUAGGUAGUUGGUGGGGUAAAGGCUCACCAAGCCAACGAUCUGUAGCUGGUCUGAGAGGACGACCAGCCACACUGGGACUGAGACACGGCCCAGACUCCUACGGGAGGCAGCAGUGGGGAAUUUUGGACAAUGGGCGAAAGCCUGAUCCAGCCAUUCCGCGUGCAGGAUGAAGGCCCUCGGGUUGUAAACUGCUUUUGUACGGAACGAAACGCGCUGAGCUAAUACCUCGGCGUAAUGACGGUA